Molecule: ribosomal RNA, 480 nt
Filed under: uncultured bacterium PHOS-HE67
Lineage: Bacteria; Pseudomonadati; Bacteroidota
Description: bacterial SSU rRNA
Rfam family: Bacterial small subunit ribosomal RNA
Source: RNAcentral
GGCGCACGGGUGAGUAACGCGUACACGACCUACCUCUGACAGGGGGAUAGCCCUGGGAAACUGGGAUUAAUACCGCAUAUUAUUCUGAUUAAUAAAGGAUUGGAAUGAAAGUUCAGGCGGUCAGAGAUGGGUGUGCGUCUGAUUAGCUAGUUGGUAGGGUAACGGCCUACCAAGGCGAUGAUCAGUAGGGGGCGUGAGAGCGUGGUCCCCCACACGGGUACUGAGACACGGACCCGACUCCUACGGGAGGCAGCAGUAAGGAAUAUUGGACAAUGGCCGCAAGGCUGAUCCAGCCAUCCAGCGUGCAGGAAGAAGGCCCUAUGGGUUGUAAACUGCUUUUAUCAGGGAAUAAACCUCUGGAUUCACUCCGGAGCUGAAGGUACCUGAAGAAUAAGCACCGGCUAACUCCGUGCCAGCAGCCGCGGUAAUACGGAGGGUGCGAGCGUUAUCCGGAAUUACUGGGUUUAAAGGGUGCGUAGG